RNAcentral lists this ribosomal RNA (256 nucleotides) under uncultured bacterium. RNAcentral's name for it is "partial 16S ribosomal RNA". It matches the Rfam family "Bacterial small subunit ribosomal RNA", at positions 524 to 776 of the family's 1533-position model. The record is from RNAcentral.
UACGGAGGGGGGCUAGCGUUUGUUCGGAAUUACUGGGCGUAAAGCGCACGUAGGCGGCUUUGUAAGUUAGAGGUGAAAGCCCGGGGCUCAACUCCGGAACUGCCUUUAAGACUGCAUCGCUAGAAUUGUGGAGAGGUAAGUGGAAUUCCGAGUGUAGAGGUGAAAUUCGUAGAUAUUCGGACGGAACACCAGUGGCGAAGGCGACUCACUGGCCCGAUACUGACGCUGAGGCGCGAAAGCGUGGGGAGCAAACAGG